RNAcentral lists this ribosomal RNA (539 nucleotides) under uncultured bacterium. RNAcentral's name for it is "bacterial SSU rRNA". It matches the Rfam family "Bacterial small subunit ribosomal RNA", at positions 8 to 526 of the family's 1533-position model. The record is from RNAcentral.
AGAGUUUGAUCAUGGCUCAGAAUCAACGCUGGCGGCGUGCCUCAGACAUGCAAGUCGAACGCGAAAGCCCCUUUCGGGGGGCAAGUAGAGUGGCGCACGGGUGAGUAACACGUAGGUAAUCUACCUUCGGAUGGGGAAUAACAACCGGAAACGGUUGCUAAUACCGCAUAAUGCAGCGGCACCUAAUGGUGACAGUUGUUAAAGCGGGGGAUCGUAAGACCUCGCGUCUGAAGAGGAGCCUGCGGCAGAUUAGCUAGUUGGUAAGGUAACGGCUUACCAAGGCGAUGAUCUGUAGCCGGCCUGAGAGGGCGGUCGGCCACACUGACACUGACAUACGGGUCAGACUCCUACGGGAGGCAGCAGUCGGGAAUUUUGGGCAAUGGGCGAAAGCCUGACCCAGCAACGCCGCGUGAAGGAUGAAAUCCCUCGGGAUGUAAACUUCGCAAGAACGGGAAGAAUAAGUGAGAGUUAAUAUCUCUUACGAUGACGGUACUGUUUGUAAGCUCCGGCUAACUCCGUGCCAGCCGCGGCGGUAAUAC